GACGAACGCUGGCGGCGUGCUUAACACAUGCAAGUCGUACGGUAAGGCCCUUUCGGGGGUACACGAGUGGCGAACGGGUGAGUAACACGUGAGUAACCUGCCCACAACUUUGGGAUAACGCUAGGAAACUGGUGCUAAUACUGGAUAUGUGCUCCUGCUGCAUGGUUGGGGUUGGAAAGCUCCGGCGGUUGUGGAUGGACUCGCGGCCUAUCUGCUUGUUGGUGGGGUAGUGGCCUACCAAGGCGGCGACGGGUAGCCGGCCUGAGAGGGUGACCGGCCACAUUGGGACUGAGAUACGGCCCAGACUCCUACGGGAGGCAGCAGUGGGGAAUAUUGCAAAAUGGGCGCAAGCCUGAUGCAGCAACGCCGCGUGCGGGAUGACGGCCUUCGGGUUGUAAACCGCUUUCAGCAGGGACGAAGCUUUUUGUGACGGUACCUGCAGAAGAAGCACCGGCUAACUACGUG
This 465-nucleotide ribosomal RNA is filed under the name uncultured bacterium. Its description in RNAcentral is "partial 16S ribosomal RNA". It matches the Rfam family "Bacterial small subunit ribosomal RNA", at positions 28 to 507 of the family's 1533-position model. The record is from RNAcentral.